RNAcentral lists this ribosomal RNA (114 nucleotides) under Panthera pardus (leopard). The record is from RNAcentral. Lineage: Eukaryota; Metazoa; Chordata; Mammalia; Carnivora; Felidae.
GACGUUUGGUAGAGACUGUUGAAGCCGCCUGGUCCCAGCUGACCCCGGAAGGCAGCCACAUUCGCUGGUGCUGGGGUAAGGUCGUUGAGGGUGGAAGCCUGGUGCCAGAUGUGU